AUUGAACGCUGGCGGCAUGCCUUACACAUGCAAGUCGAACGGCAGCACGGGUGCUUGCACCUGGUGGCGAGUGGCGAACGGGUGAGUAAUACAUCGGAACAUGUCCUGUAGUGGGGGAUAGCCCGGCGAAAGCCGGAUUAAUACCGCAUACGAUCUACGGAUGAAAGCGGGGGACCUUCGGGCCUCGCGCUAUAGGGUGGCCGAUGGCUGAUUAGCUAGUUGGUGGGGUAAAGGCCUACCAAGGCGACGAUCAGUAGCUGGUCUGAGAGGACGACCAGCCACACUGGGACUGAGACACGGCCCAGACUCCUACGGGAGGCAGCAGUGGGGAAUUUUGGACAAUGGGCGAAAGCCUGAUCCAGCAAUGCCGCGUGUGUGAAGAAGGCCUUCGGGUUGUAAAGCACUUUUGUCCGGAAAGAAAUCCUUGGCCCUAAUACGGUCGGGGGAUGACGGUACCGGAAGAAUAAGCACCGGCUAACUACGUG
RNAcentral lists this ribosomal RNA (485 nucleotides) under uncultured bacterium. RNAcentral describes it as "partial 16S ribosomal RNA". It matches the Rfam family "Bacterial small subunit ribosomal RNA", at positions 30 to 507 of the family's 1533-position model. The record is from RNAcentral.